This 754-nucleotide ribosomal RNA is filed under the name uncultured bacterium. RNAcentral describes it as "bacterial SSU rRNA". It matches the Rfam family "Bacterial small subunit ribosomal RNA", at positions 642 to 1403 of the family's 1533-position model. The record is from RNAcentral.
GAGUAUCUUAGGAGAUUGAACUCAAGAGGAGUAGUGAAAUGCGUGAUACUUUGGGAACACCAGUGGCGAAAGCGAAUCUCUGAAAGACAACUGACACUGAGACACGAAAGCUAGGGGAGCGAAGCAGAUUAGAGACCUGCGUAGUCCUAGCCCUAAACGCAUGCUUGCUAGCCGCAUUCCUCGACUUUGUCGAAGGGUGUAGCGAAGGUAACCCGUUAAGCAAGCUACCUGGGGAGUACGACCGCAAGGUUAAAACUCAAAGGAAUUGGCGGGGAGGCACACAACCAGUGGAACACGUGGUUCAAUUCGAUACGAACCGAAAAACCUCACCAGGGUUUGACAUACUAUCGUUUAUUCUUCUAGAAAUAGAGGGAAAUCCGCAAGGAUGAUAGUACAGGUGCUGCAUGGCUGUCGUCAGCUCGUUCCGUGAGGAGUGCCCUUAAGUGGGACAACGAGCGCAACCCCUAUCUUGUGUUAAAUCUGUCACAAGAAACGGUCCUGCCUUUGGCGGGAAGGAAGGAGGGGCAGACGUCAAGUCAGCAUGGUCCUUAUACCCUGGGCCACACACAUGUUACAAUGGGAUGAGCAACGGGCUUUGCCAAGCGGUAACGUUUUAGCAAAUCCCUUAAACCAUCCCUCAGUGGGGAUUGAGGUCUGCAACUCGACCUCAUGAACGCGGAAUUGGUAGUAAUCGCGGAUCAGUCACGCCGCGGUGAAUACGUUCUUGCCUCUUGCACACACCGCCCGUAAGGGC